AGCAGCCGCGGUAAUUCCAGCUCCAAUAGCGUAUAUUAAAGUUGUUGCAGUUAAAAAGCUCGUAGUUGAAUUUCGGGAUCAGUAGGUUGGUCAUACCUCUGGUAUGUACUGGUCUCACUGAUUCCUCCCUCUUGAAGAACUGUAAUGUCAUUAAUUUGAUGUUGCGGGGAAUCAGGACUGUUACUUUGAAAAAAUUAGAGUGUUUAAAGCAGGCUCACGCUUGAAUACAUUAGCAUGGAAUAAUGAAAUAGGACGUAUGAUCCUAUUUUGUUGGUUUCUAGGAUUGACGUAAUGAUUAAUAGGGAUAGUUGGGGGCAUUAGUAUUCAAUUGUCAGAGGUGAAAUUCUUGGAUUUAUUGAAGACUAACUACUGCGAAAGCAUUUGCCGAGGAUGUUUUCAUUAAUCAAGAACGAAAGUUAGGGGAUCGAAGACGAUCAGAUACCGUCGUAGUCUUAACCAUAAACUAUGCCGACUAGGGAUCGGAUGAUGUUAAUUUUUUAAUGACUCAUUCGGCGCCUUA
This 520-nucleotide ribosomal RNA is filed under the name uncultured Glomus. RNAcentral describes it as "SSU rRNA". It matches the Rfam family "Eukaryotic small subunit ribosomal RNA", at positions 569 to 1090 of the family's 1831-position model. Lineage: Eukaryota; Fungi; Glomeromycota; Glomeromycetes; Glomerales; Glomeraceae. The record is from RNAcentral.